RNAcentral lists this long non-coding RNA (220 nucleotides) under Salvia miltiorrhiza (redroot sage). Its description in RNAcentral is "long non-coding RNA (SMIL_LNC012975)". The record is from RNAcentral. Lineage: Eukaryota; Viridiplantae; Streptophyta; Magnoliopsida; Lamiales; Lamiaceae.
UCAGUGAACAUAUGCCGGAAAUAUAACAUUUUAUAUCAUUUAUUGUACUGCCAACAGUAACACACAGGGUUUUACUUGAAGGACCUGUGCUUACUAAACAUUUUCUUUCAUUUCAUAAAGUUGGAUGGCCAUCCCAUUUUCGGUCUAUAUGAUCCAUAUCUGUUCCUUUUACACGCCGGGAAGGAGGCCUCCUUCCACGGACGCUAAGACCGGUCGCAAG